Molecule: long non-coding RNA, 623 nt
Filed under: Nicotiana tabacum (common tobacco)
Lineage: Eukaryota; Viridiplantae; Streptophyta; Magnoliopsida; Solanales; Solanaceae
Description: long non-coding RNA (NTAB_LNC010043)
Source: RNAcentral
UUGUCAUGUGGAUAACCUUCGAUUGAAACGUCAUUGUCUCGACCGGUCUUUGUGACUGAGAAUCGGUUUUGACCGUAAACAAUGCUACAGUCAAUUACAUAAGAACAAUCCAAGUAUUCGACCUAUACUAUCUCUCAGCUCUAUUAGUGGAUAUAGCAGUAGACAACCAAAAAACAUCUACUCCAUACACAACUCUUAACUGUAAGCAAAUUUUCAACCCCAACAACCAAAAAUUAAUCUUUUCAAACACAAAUUAUUAGAAAAAAAAGGUAAGGAAGAAAGAAUCAACAAGAAACAAGAAAACCCAGCAUACUUUUUUCCUUAUUAUCAAUCAAUAUAGCUACAGAGAAUAAAAUAAGCAACAAAGAAUAAAAUAAGCAACAAAGAAUUAAAAUAAGAACCUGUUGGGACAAAAUGAGACUUGGGCAAGAGAAACAUAAGCCUUAAGAGAAUCCAAUUUUGGUCAAUAGAGGAAAACCCAGUUGGUAAAAUCAGAGAGUAAAGAGCUAGCGUUGGAGAAGGAGGCUAUCUCAUUGAUGGAGGAGGAGGAGAAGAGAUGGUAAUAUCUGAUAUUUGGGUGUUUCGAUAUUUUACGAAGUGCCUAUAGAAUAAGGGAUUUUGGC